UUCCGGUUGAUCCUGCCGGACCUGACUGCUAUCGGAUUGAUACUAAGCCAUGCGAGUCAUUGUAGCAAUACAAGGCAUACGGCUCAGUAACGCGUAGUCAACCUAACCUAUGGACGGGAAUAACCUCGGGAAACUGAGAAUAAUGCCCGAUAGAACAUUAUGCCUGGAAUGGUUUAUGUUCCAAAUGAUUUAUCGCCGUAGGAUGGGACUGCGGCCUAUCAGUUUGUUGGUGAGGUAAUGGCCCACCAAGACUAUUACAGGUACGGGCUCUGAGAGGAGUAGCCCGGAGAUGGGUACUGAGACACGGACCCAGGCCCUAUGGGGCGCAGCAGGCGAGAAAACUUUGCAAUGUGCGAAAGCACGACAAGGUUAAUCCGAGUGGUUUCUGCUAAAGAAACCUUUUGUCAGUCCUAGAAACACUGAUGAAUAAGGGGUGGGCAAGUUCUGGUGUCAGCCGCCGCGGUAAAACCAGCACCUCAAGUGGUCAGGAUGAUUAUUGGGCCUAAAGCAUCCGUAGCCGGCUCUGUAAGUUUUCGGUUAAAUCUGUACGCUCAACGUACAGGCUGCCGGGAAUACUGCAAAGCUAGGGAGUGGGAGAGGUAGACGGUACUCGGUAGGAAGGGGUAAAAUCCUUUGACCUAUUGAUGACCACCUGUGGCGAAAGCGGUCUACCAGAACACGUUCGACGGUGAGGGAUGAAAGCUGGGGGAGCAAAGCGGAUUAGAUACCC
Molecule: ribosomal RNA, 730 nt
Filed under: uncultured Nitrososphaerota archaeon
Lineage: Archaea; Thermoproteati; Nitrososphaerota
Description: bacterial SSU rRNA
Rfam family: Archaeal small subunit ribosomal RNA
Source: RNAcentral